This 253-nucleotide ribosomal RNA is filed under the name uncultured bacterium. RNAcentral's name for it is "partial 16S ribosomal RNA". It matches the Rfam family "Bacterial small subunit ribosomal RNA", at positions 524 to 776 of the family's 1533-position model. The record is from RNAcentral.
UACGUAGGGUGCGAGCGUUAAUCGGAAUUACUGGGCGUAAAGCGUGCGCAGGCGGUUUGAUAAGACAGGCGUGAAAUCCCCGAGCUUAACUUGGGAAUGGCGCUUGUGACUGUCAGGCUAGAGUAUGUCAGAGGGGGGUAGAAUUCCACGUGUAGCAGUGAAAUGCGUAGAUAUCGGGAGGAACACCUGAGGCGAAGGCGGGCUACUGGGCCGAUACUGACGCUGAUGCGCGAAAGCCAGGGGAGCAAACGGG